Long non-coding RNA from Oncorhynchus tshawytscha (Chinook salmon), 628 nucleotides. The record is from Ensembl. NCBI's taxonomy places the organism in Eukaryota, Metazoa, Chordata, Actinopteri, Salmoniformes, Salmonidae.
AGGGUGGUGGAUGUCUAGUGUCCCUUAUGGCUCUAAUCUGAUAGUGGUAGUGGGGUGGUAGAUUCCUAGUGUCCCUUAUGGCUCUAAUAUGAUAGUGGUAGUAGGGUGGUGGAUGUCUAGUGUCCCUUAUGGCUCUAAUAUGAUAAUGGUAGUGGGGUGGUAGAUUCCUAGUGUCCCUUAUGGCUCUAAUCUGAUAGUGGUAGUGGGGUGGUAGAUUCCUAGUGUCCCUUAUGGCUCUAAUCUGAUAGUGGUAGUAGGGUGGUGGAUGUCUAGUGUCCCUUAUGGCUCUAAUCUGAUAAUGGUAGUGGGGGGGUGGAAGAUUCCUAGUGUCCCUUAUGGCUCUAAUCUGAUAGUGGUAGUGGGGGGUGGCAGAUUCCUAGUGUCCCUUAUGGCUCUAAUCUGAUAGUGGUAGUGGGGGGUGGCAGAUUCCUAGUGUCCCUUAUGGCUCUAAUCUGAUAGUGGUAGUGGGGUGGCAGAUUCCUAGUGUCCCUUAUGGCUCUAAUCUGAUAGUGGUAGUGGGGUGGUAGAUUCCUAGUGUCCCUUAUGGCUCUAAUAUUAUAAUGGCAGUAGGGUGGUGGAUGUCUAGUGUCCCUUAUGGCUCUAAUCUGAUAGUGGUAGUGGGGUGGUA